AACGAACGCUGGCGGCGUGGAUUAGGCAUGCAAGUCGUGCGCGAAAGGAGGGGCAACCCUCCGAGUAGAGCGGCGAACUGGUGAGUAACAGGUGGGUAACGUGCCCCAAAGUGGGGGAUAACCCAGGGAAACUUGGGCUAAUACCGCAUGUGGUCAUGAGGACUAUGGUCCAAAUGACCAAAGGAGUAAUUCGCUUUGGGAUCGGCCCGCCCCCGAUUAGCUUGUUGGUGAGGUAAUGGCNCACCAAGGCUCCGAUCGGUAGCUGGUCUGAGAGGAUGGUCAGCCACACUGGGACUGAGAUACGGCCCAGACUCCUACGGGGGGCAGCAGUCUAGAGGCUUCGGCAAUGGGGGAAACCCGUGACCGAGCGACGCCGCGUGCGGGAUUUGAA
RNAcentral lists this ribosomal RNA (391 nucleotides) under uncultured bacterium. RNAcentral describes it as "bacterial SSU rRNA". It matches the Rfam family "Bacterial small subunit ribosomal RNA", at positions 29 to 414 of the family's 1533-position model. The record is from RNAcentral.